This is a non-coding RNA of Rattus rattus (black rat), 354 nucleotides long. NCBI's taxonomy places the organism in Eukaryota, Metazoa, Chordata, Mammalia, Rodentia, Muridae. The record is from the annotation of a RefSeq genome assembly.
AUGGAAAUGAGAAUCCUUGGGCUCCUGUUGCUCUUGUUUCAAGGUACCAGAUGUGACAUCCAGAUGACCCAGUCUCCAUCCACCCUGCCUGCAUCUCUGGGAGAGAGAGUCACUAUCAAUUGCAGAGCAAGUCAGGGUAUUAGCAAUAAUUUAAAUUGGUAUCAGCAGAAACCAGAUGGAACUAUUAAACGCCUGAUCUACUACACAUCCAAUUUACAAUCUGGUGUCCCAUCAAGGUUCAGUGGCAAAGGGUCAGGGACAGAUUAUUCUCUCACCAUCAGCAGCCUGGAGCCUGAAGAUUUUGCAGAUUAUUACUGUGUACAGUAUGCUGCUUUUCCUCCCACAGUGAUAUAA